CCAACUUACUUUUUCAUAUUUUGUAGAUGUGAGGUCUUGCCAUAUUGCCUAGGCUGUUCUCAAAAUCCUGGACUGAAGCUACCCUCUCACCUCUGCCUCCCAAACUGGCAUUACAAGCAUGAGCCACUGCACCCAGCCCAAAAAAUAGUUUUAAAAAAUGACUAAUUGAAAUUAGUGUACUUUUUUGAGAAAAAAAACUUAAAGUGCAUAACUAAACAUACACAAAGAAAGAUUAUUCAAGAAUUAUAAUAGAACAAUUAAGUUUUUAUUGACUUUGACAUCAAUGGCAAGUAUACUUAAAUAUGCAUACCUCACUAUUGUCAAUAAACUACAUCAUCACAUUAUUAUCGACAAAAACAAUAGCAAGACAAGCAUCUUAAUGAAUGCAAAAUAUAAUACACUUUGUAGUUGUAUAUUUUUAUCAAAGUGUUCUCACAUUUAUUACUUUAUUCUCAUUUUAAAUUAAUGAAUUAUGUUAUGCCUUACAUAUAUUAACGUAACUAAAACUCUCAAAUGUCAAAAAAAAAACCCAAUUGAAUGUUAUCUACAGAGGUCUUUUACCAAUUUUUUUAACCUAAUUUUCAACUGUUGCUUGUUUAACCAUCUCCUGUUUCACUGUCUCUAUUUUUAUGUUUUAUUCUUUGAAAUACUUCUGCUAUCUUGGGGAAAUCUUUAUCCUUACCAUCAGGAUUCUUUUGCUUUUUCUUUCCUUCUCCCAUUGAACAGGUCACUUAAAGCCUUCCUCAGUAACUGUUGCAUAUCCUUCCUUGGGGGACAAAUUCCUGCUCUCUUUAAAAGUUUGUAGAUACCAGCAUUUUUGUUUUGUCUCAAUUUUUCUUAAACUUGUAAGGAUCUUUUAAAUUGCUCUUUGAAAUCCUUCAAAUUCAAUUUUACAAAAUCAAACUUCCUCUGAAAAUUUCUUUAGGAGAUUUUGUUACUAUUUUUGUUGAGCUUUAUUUUCUAUUCUUGCAUCUCCCUCACAACAUUCCCCUUCAUAGAUUCCCCUUCAUUGAAAUAUGUCCUCUUUUUAAUUUCCACCUUUUAAAAGGUGAGAUAUGAAGUAUGUCUCUCACAUGUUCUGGAUUCUAACUACUAAUUAUUAAAACACAGCCACAUUAAAAUGCAAAAUAGUUGCUGAUUAUUUAAGCCUACACUUCCUUCUUUCAGAAGUGGACAUGGGGACCAUCUUUUAAAGUUUGCGUUUGUUCCAGAGAGUGGUAGAGAGAUCACCGUCUAGUGUUAAUGCACCCUGCAGAAAGGAGGCAUUCAUGAUAAAUGCUAGGGACUAUGGCAAACACACCCUCCAGUGAUUCCCAAUGAGUCACACCCUUGUAUAAUCUUCUCUUGUGUGCAGAAGUGGGUGACUCACUUUUAACCAAAAGAAUGGGGGUAUAACUCCUUUGAGUAGGUUAUACUAUUAAUACAUGGAAGAUGUGAUAAGAUGCCACUGCUCCAAUUAUGUUUAUUAUAUAAGACAAUGUCUAACAGGCUGGUAGGAGAGAUUCUUCCACUGACUUUGAAAAAGUAAGCUGCCCCAUGUUGUGAGAGGUUUAUGGCAAGGACCUGUGAGUGACCUUUAAAGACAUCAGGGUGGCCUCUACCUGACAGACAGUAAGAAUAUGGGGCCUUCAUGGAUGAGGUGGGCUCACACAUGUAAUCCCAGCACUUUAAGAGGCUGAGGUGGGCGGAUCACCUGAGGUCAGGAGUUUGAGACCAGCCUGGCCAACAUGGCGAAACUCUGUCUUUACUAAACAUACAAAAAUUAUAUUUUUGUAUAAUUUUGUAUAAUUUGGGGUGUGGUGGUGGGCACCUGUAAUUCCAGCUACUUGGGAGGCUGAGGCAGGAGAAUAAUUUGAACCUGGGAAGUGGAGGUUGCAGUGAACCAAGAUUGCACGACUGUACUCCAGCCUGGGUGACAGAGCUAGACUCUGUCUCAAAAAAGAAAAAGGGGCCUUCAGUCAUAAAGCUGAAAGAAAUGAAUUCUGCCCACAACCUGAAUAAGCUUGCAAGCGGAUUCUUCCCCAAUUAACUCUCCAGAUGAGAAUGCAGCCCAGCUGACACUUUAAUUGCUGCCAUGUGAAACCCUGAUCUGAGGACACAGAAAACCUUUUCCCAGGCUCCUGACCCAAAAACACUGUGAGAUAAUAAAUGCAUUUUGUUUUAAGCCUUUAAGUUUAUGGUAGUUGCUUACAGAAAUAGAACACUAAUACAAGGAUUGCCACUCUUUUCCCUAAUGACAAUUUCCAAAAUAUUCAUAGACUUUCUUUCCUGUUAUUUUCAAUAUUUUAAUUUAUAUUUUUAUGAGUUUUUAAAUAUACUUUAAUUUGUUCUGUCUCUCAUCAAUAUUAACUUCUUUAUUUGGAACACAUUCAAGUAAUGGAAUUUGCUUAACUAAUAGAUUUUUUUUUUAAGUAUAGUACCUCUUGAAUUUUGUAAUGGGGCCAGAUUCUGUUAUUGAUUUUUUUGCGAAGUAAAUAGGCUAUUAACAUGCUUUUACACUUUCAAGGAAGUAUAAGUUGCUUCUUUGAAUUUUUAAAACUAGAAUCAUAAACUUUAAUUAAUGGCUUUAGCUCUGCACAUGUAUUAUAACAAUGAUCAUAAUGUUUUGCUGCAAGACGAAUUGUACUACUCAGGAUAUUUUCCAUAUUUCCCCAGUGUGUACUUUUCAUUCACUGUAUAACAUAGAGCAAAGAUAAUAAAGAUUUAAUACGGAAACAAGUUUAAAAUUAAUGUGUCUCUUAGGUAAUACAGGCUAUAUCUAUUCAUUCUAAUUUAUUUUAGGAUACCAGAAAUAUCAUAUUCCAUAUUUUUAUGUUUCACUACAACUGCUUCUUGAGUGAAGCAGGUAUAAAAAUGUAACUAUAUAGACUUAUCAAUAAUUGUUUGUUGCUAACAUAGAAAUAUCCUGAAGAUACUAUUUUCUGAAUUGUCAUUAAAAUGAGUGAGUCAGCAGUAGACAUGAAACCAAAGACUUCCCAAGAUGAUAACAUGUCUUAUUUUUGUGCUUCUUCAUUUAGCUUUUCCCUUUGCCCCUCUGCCAAAGCUAAAGUCUUCCUUAAUUUUGUGACGUUUCUACGAAACAGUGAUAUCAGUUUCUUCUUCAAAAUUAUUGAUUUUAUAAAAUCUUAGAACAUCGGUGUUGAAUCAAUUGGACUCCCUAUACAGGUUAUAAGAAUACAUAAUCUCAUCAGUACUAUGGCUCCUGUUGUUCAAGAUUUGUGCAUUUUCUAUUGAUAUGUUCAGUUGUGUAGUCAGACUCAGAAAUCAGAUCACUACUUCAUUUUUGAAGUCAUCUUGUAUGGGAAUUACCCAGUUAUGAAUUUCCCAGGAAAUUAUUUGUGGCAAAUGAUUGACUUGUAUCUUCCAGAGACUUUGCUUCCACUAUGGAUAUUGGUGCCUCUUGCAUGUCUCAUGAUGUUUGUCAUGGUCCAUACUGGGGGAUUCUGUGACUGACCAUGAAUGAAACAAUCAGUGUCAUUUUUACCUGCUUUAUUUUUUAAAAUUAGACUCUAUAUGAAUUACUAAACAUAUAUGAAUUACUAGACCUACUGUGAAAUAGCUAUGUUGUUCACUCUUUCACAUUAUAUUUUCUUACCAAGUUUUGGGAAUAGGCUAUAGAGAUGGAUCUUAAGAGAAAGUAAUGGUUGAACAGUAGUCAUCACAGUGUUAUAAACUUCUUUAAUGUCUUUAUGUGCUACAGUCACAAAUGAUAUUUGAACUUAAUCCAGAGCAAUUUCCAUCUUGUUCAACUGAGAAAAUGGUUCUUGUGGGAAUUCUUUUAACUGAUUCCACCUGCCACAGGGUAUUAGCAGAUUAGAGCAAACAUUGGGAGGUGCCCUGUGUCAUCUAAGUGAACAAUGACACAUUUGUUUGCUUUUCUACCAUCAAGGAUAUUUGAAGGUCGACUUUUGAACAGAGUGUUUUGUGAACAUAACAAUAGCCACAUACUUGUGUGGAAGUAAACAGAUACUUGACCAAAAGAAGGAUCUUUCAACCACAUAACUACAAAUGGGAAAGAAAGCCUAACAUGAGAGAUCUGCUUUUACAGCGUGCCCACUGCUUCACCCACCCCUAGACAUCUCCUGCUCAGAGAGGCUCUGUCUUAGAAAUACCCAGGAUCCCACUGGAGCUGUGAACACUGGUCAGCAAUCCUAUGCUAUAUCUGAUACAGGAGAAAAUCCAAAAAAGGAAGUGUUGAGAGAAGUGUUUUUUCUUUCCUCACCUCUGCAUUCUAUAAAGGACUGAAAUGUGCAGAUUUCUUGAUGCUGUUCCCACACUGAUAAAUGACAAUACAAUAGUGCUUAAAUCAUUAUUCCUGAAGUUUCUCAUCAUAAACUUUUCCCUCCACCGCAUGGUAGGGCUCUGCAGAAAUCAUACAACUGAGGAUUGCUUGGACCCAGGAGUUCAAGGCUGCAGUGAGCUGUGAUUGUACCAUUGUACCCCAGCCUGGGUGACAGAGUGAGAUGUUGUCUAAAAAAAAUCAUGUAACUGCCCUUAAUUUCCUUUUCUAUAAAAUGAAAAGAGUAAUAAGAGGCUCUUGCUCAUGUAAUAGAAUAUUUUAUACACAUUUAAGAAAUAGUCAUUUAAGAAAUGAACCCUAUGGGCAGACAGUUCUUAAGACCCAUAAAUAUCACAUUAUUCUUGAUACCCAUAAUAUUAAAUGAAAGAAAAUGAUUUUUCUUUUCACUUCUUGAAGAAAAAAGUAAUAAAAAAAAAAAAAGUUGAUAUGCCCUGACAAUGAUCAGAAGGCACUCAAAAAAAUUGGUCUCUGAGAAUUGGUAUUAGGGCAAAAAUAAAACAGACAAUUAAUGAGUGGGUAGUUUGUCAGAGGGUUGAGUAGGCAAUAUAAGUGCUAAUAUUAGAGGGAUGUGGCUAAUUCCAUGUGCCUCCAGAAAAAGGAAACUGCACUGGGGUUUGGUCAUUGAAGAAGAAACUGUUUUUAACAGUUGUGUCAUGCCUCAUUUUAUAGUUCAUUAAAAAAAAAAAAAAAGCUCUAAGACCAGCCUGGCCAGCAUGGUGAAACCUCGUCUCUACUAAAAAUACAAAAAUUAGCCUGGCAUGGUGGCAGGCGCCUGUAAUCCCAGCUACUCGGGAAGCUGAGGCAGGAGAAUCGCUUGAACCCGGGAGGCGGAGGUUGCAGCGAGCCGAGAUGGCGCCACUGCGCUCCAGCAAAAAAAAAAAAAAAUAGUAAAAUAAAAAUAAAUAAAUAAAACAAACCCUCAAGCUUAAAAUAAGUGAAGACUCCGGAAUAAAAAUCUCCAUAUGAAUAAGCAUUCAACCCUGUACAGAAACAAAAACCUUCAAUGACCUGAGUCCCAUCUUCUCGCUAAAGGAGAGUUUUCCAGAGGUCCGGCAGAGGAGAUGUGGCCAAGCUUCAUCUGGGCGCAGGUGCAGCCGCGCUUCCACAGGGAAAGAACAAUGUCUGGAGUGAGCCAGCACUGGUUUGGUGAACCCCAUGGCGACUGCCAGUCGUUUGCAGGCUUUUGUCUAUUCUUUGUGUACUGUUUGACUCAGCUUGAGCCAAAAUAAUCAGCAGCUAAAGCUGGAGCCUACCUUUUUGCAGAGAGCACAGUGUUUGAUGUUUCUGGACAUUUUUGCAACGUGUAACCCCUACCCUGAGCUCCUGCUGCCUUACUAGCACUUCCACAUGAAAGUACAAGACUCUAAAACGGUACCUUCUACACACUAUAUUCCCAUUUAUGAGGCAAGCAGACAACGUUUUCUGACAGCUGGCUGUCCAUCUGGUGUUUGAUGUGUGGCAGAAAAGCACCAUGGGGUAAUAAGGGAGAUGGAUGUUUUUCUGAGGUGGCAACUCAGUGUUCCUGACUGCAGACUCCCUUGGGCUUCCUGCCCUUCUGCCCUGCAUGCUGCCUCUUUGCACAGGAUGCUUUUGCGAGCUUCCGGCGGGGAGGAGCCAAGAUGGCCGAAUAGGAACAGCUCCAGUCUACAGCGCCCAGCGUGAGCGACGCAGAAGACGGGUGAUUUCUGCCAUUUCCAUCUGAGGUACCGGGUUCAUCUCACUAGGAAGUGCCAGAGAGUGGGCACAGCCAUCCUACAGGAAAUUUUGCUCACUCCUGAGCUAGAGAAAGGUCAGAAAGAGCAGCAGCAGAGUCAAGAGAAAGAAGACAUGGCCAGAAGUCACAGGACAUAAGGACAGCCUCUGUUUCACCCUCCCCAAGGCUGAAGUAGGUCUCCAUUUUGCCCUAUUUUCUAGAAGUAGACACAUGCUACAAAGGAAUAAUGAGCUUUACAGUUUGCAUUGAAUUUUAUACACUAUGGAGAAUGGGGGUUACAUAGCACAGAUCACAGAUUUUCAAAAUCUGCUAGUGAGGGCUGGGUGCAGUGUCUCACACCUGUAAUCCCAGCACUUUGGGAGGCCAAGGAGGGCAGAUUACCUGAGGUUCUGAGUUUGAGACCAGCCUAGCCAACAUGGUGAAACCCUGUCUCUACUAAAAAUACAAAAAUUAGCUGGGCAUGGUGGCGCACGUCUGUAAUCCCAGCUACUCUGGAGGUUGAGGCACAAUAGUCACUUGAACUCAGGAGGCAGAGGUUGCAGUGAACCGAGAUUGCACCACUGCACUCCAGCCUGGGAGACAGAGCAACACUCCAUCUUGGGGAUAAAAAAAAAAGGCUCUAAUCUGUUUUGUUUUUUUCCCUUUCUUCCAACUGGAUAAUUUAUAUUGGUCUAUCUUCAAGUUAAUUGCCUUUUCUCUGUCAUUGCCAUUCUGCUACUGAGCUCAUCUGGUGAAUUUUUUAUUUUAGUUCUUAUAUUUUUCAGUUCUAAAAUUUCCAUUUGGUUCUUUUUUUAAUGCUUUCUACUUCUUUGCUAAGAUCAUCUAUCCCUCUGUUCAUUUCAAGAGGCUUUACCUUUGUCUCAUAGAGACCAGUUAUAAAAGCUGCUUUAAAAUUUUUGUAUUGUAAUUCCAACAUUUGCAUAAACUUGGAUGUGAUGGUUAACACUGAAUGUCAACUUGAUUAGAUUGAAGGAUACAAAGUAUUGAUCCUGGGUGUGUCUGUAAGGGUGUUGUCAAAUUAACAUUUGAGUCAGUGGGCUGGGAAAGGCAGGCCCACCCUUAAUUUGGGUGGGCACAAUCUUAUCAGCUGCCAGCGCUGCUAGAAUAUAAGCAGGAAGAAAAGUAACCUCCCAGCCUACAUCUUUCUCCCAUGCUGGAUGUUUCCUGCCCUCAAACAUCAAACUCCAAGUUCCUCAGUUUUGGAACUCGGACUGGCUCUCCUUGCUCCUCAGCCUGAAGGUGGCCUGUUGUGGGACCUGUGAUCAUGUGAGUUAAUACUUAAUA
This 7298-nucleotide long non-coding RNA is filed under the name Homo sapiens (human). Its description in RNAcentral is "HSALNT0377245". The record is from RNAcentral. Lineage: Eukaryota; Metazoa; Chordata; Mammalia; Primates; Hominidae.